UACUCAGGAGAAGGAACUCGGCAAAUUGACACCGUAACUUCGGAAGAAGGUGUGCCUUUAGUAGGUGAACCUGUACAAGGGGAGCCCAAUGAGGUUGCAAAAAAUCGGUGGCUGCGACUGUUUAAUAAAAACACAGCACUCUGCAAACACGAAAGUGGACGUAUAGGGUGUGACGCCUGCCCGGUGCUGGAAGAUUAAAUGAUGGGGUGCAAGCUCUUGAUUGAAGUCCCAGUAAACGGCGGCCGUAACAAUAACGGUCCUAAGGUAGCGAAAUUCCUUGUCGGGUAAGUUCCGACCUGCACGAAUGGCGUAACGAUGGCCACACUGUCUCCUCCUGAGACUCAGCGAAGUUGAAAUGUUUGUGAUGAUGCAAUCUCCCCGCGGAAAGACGGAAAGACCCCAUGAACCUUUACUGUAGCUUUGUAUUGGGCUUUGAACAGAUCUGUGUAGGAUAGGUGGGAGGCUUUGAAGUGUGGUCGCUAGAUCGCAUGGAGCCAACGUUGAAAUACCACCCUGGUGUGUUUGAGGUUCUAACCUAGGCCCGUAAUCCGGGUCGGGGACAGUGCAUGGUAGGCAGUUUGACUGGGGCGGUCUCCUCCCAAAGCGUAACGGAGGAGUUCGAAGGUACGCUAGGUACGGUCGGACAUCGUGCUAAUAGUGCAAUGGCAUAAGCGUGCUUAACUGCGAGACUGACAAGUCGAGCAGAUGCGAAAGCAGGACAUAGUGAUCCGGUGGUUCUGUAUGGAAGGGCCAUCGCUCAACGGAUAAAAGGUACUCUGGGGAUAACAGGCUGAUACCGCCCAAGAGUUCAUAUCGACGGCGGUGUUUGGCACCUCGAUGUCGGCUCAUCUCAUCCUGGGGCUGUAGCCGGUCCCAAGGGUAUGGCUGUUCGCCAUUUAAAGAGGUACGUGAGCUGGGUUUAAAACGUCGUGAGACAGUUUGGUCCCUAUCUUCCGUGGGCGCUGCAGAUUUGAGGAAGCCUGCUCCUAGUACGAGAGGACCGGAGUGGACACACCUCUGGUGUAUCGGUUGUCACGCCAGUGGCAUUGCCGAGUAGCUAUGUGUGGAAGAGAUAACCGCUGAAAGCAUCUAAGCGGGAAACUCGUUUCAAGAUGAGAUCUGCCGGGGCCUUGAGCCCCCUAAAGAGUCGUUCAAGACCAGGACGUUGAUAGGUCGGGUGUGGAAGCGCAGUAAUGCGUUAAGCUAACCGAUACUAAUUGCUCGUGCGGCUUGACCCC
Molecule: ribosomal RNA, 1238 nt
Filed under: metagenome
Description: bacterial LSU rRNA
Rfam family: Bacterial large subunit ribosomal RNA
Source: RNAcentral